Tribolium castaneum (red flour beetle) is the source of this 588-nucleotide long non-coding RNA. RefSeq lists it as uncharacterized. Lineage: Eukaryota; Metazoa; Arthropoda; Insecta; Coleoptera; Tenebrionidae. The record is from RefSeq and is a predicted model, not a curated record. The transcript has 2 exons.
UUAUGGACUAUUAUUAUUUAAGAGAUAAAAAAUGUUUUUAAAAAUCAAACAAAAUAUCCAAGUGGGAAGUGCAAUUAGUAUUUUUGGUUGCAUCUUAAGUCAUGUCACAAAAAAACAUUAUUGACUCACCCUGUAUAUAAAAAAAAUUAAACGUUUGUUCAAUAUCCCUAUUCAUUCAGAUCUGAAUUUUUUUAAUAAUACAACGCGAAAUCGUUUUAAAAUUCAUAUUCAUUAAUAUUUGAACACUUUAUGUCAAAAUGACAAAUCUCUGCGUGUAUAAUACUGUUCUUUCAGACGCUCUUUACUGGAGUAUACUUCUCUACCUUGUGGCAGUUUUCUUAUUGAUUUGGGUACGAUAUUGUGUCCAAUUUACAAUUUUGUGUCCCUUUUCAAACACACAAAUCCACUGUUCUUACAUCCCUCAAUACCCAAGUAAUUCCUGCAUUUGCGCUUCUUGUGCCAUGAAUAAGAAUAACACUGGACUUUUUUGUUGCAAAAGGAAACACAAAUUUUACGUCAAAAUACAUUGUUAGAGUAAUAAAAUAACCAACUAUUCUACUUUUAAAAAUAAAUUAAUGUUUUAAUUUU